AAAAUAGUUUUUAUUUUGGACAAGUGCAAAGAGCUGGUUGGUUAGACACAAAAGAAUAAAGAUAGAUACGUCUCCACAAGCCAGACUAGGAGCCUCUCAACUUUUCCCGAUGAGCACUAAGGCGAUUUUCUUGUGUAUAUUCAAAGAGAAAAAGAUGAGAGUUUUAGCGUGAGAGGGUAGAGAAGAUUUGAAUGUGAGUUGAAUGAUAGCUCUUCAUAAUCCUCAUCAACGCUUAGGUUUCGCCUCUAAAACCACAGAAAGCAAAACAAAACACACACCAAAACACACAUGAUUCCUUGAUUCUUUGGUUUGAAAAGGACAAAGAAGAUAGAUGCAUGAAGCUCACAAUUCCAUCUCAACCUCAGGAGAAUCUCAGAUCUAUAGAGGGGCCCAGACUAAUCCCUUGGGGGAGGUGCAGCUCACAGAUAGACUCUUUCUCCGGGUAUGCAAAUGGGCCGAAAGCAAGGGCCCAUAUCCAUGUGGCCAAGUAGAGAUCUAACAAUUGCGCGCUUGCGGGGAAUCGAUCACUGGCCUAGACCAACAGGGCAACUCUUCCACAAGUGGCAACCACUAGACUAAGAACACUUGGUUAAGAUGACGAUUUUUAUUAGGAUAAAUAAUGGAAAUGAGAGUAUAGCACCAAAAUAUAAUUGUUAUUUGUCGACGAAGUCAUGGAUAAAUUUAAAGUUGUUGUGAAACAAUUUUUUAUGCU
Molecule: long non-coding RNA, 712 nt
Organism: Arabidopsis lyrata subsp. lyrata
Lineage: Eukaryota; Viridiplantae; Streptophyta; Magnoliopsida; Brassicales; Brassicaceae
Exons: 2
Source: RefSeq, a predicted model, not a curated record